This 62-nucleotide transfer RNA is filed under the name Dibolia rugulosa. Its description in RNAcentral is "tRNA-His". The record is from RNAcentral. Lineage: Eukaryota; Metazoa; Arthropoda; Insecta; Coleoptera; Chrysomelidae.
AUCUAAAUAGUUUAAUAAAAAUAUUGAUUUGUGGUGUCAAAGUUAUAGAUUUAUUUUAGAUU